AGGACAUAGACCCACCUACUGGGCAGGGGUCCAGCCAUGGAUGGGCCUGGGAGGACAUAGACCCACCUACUGGGGAGUCAGGUCCAGCCAUGGAUGGGCCUGGGAGGACAUAGACCCACCUACUGGGGAGUCAGGUCCAGCCAUGGAUGGGCCUGGGAGGACAUAGACCCACCUACUGGGGAGUCAGGUCCACCUACUGGGGAGUCAGGUCCAGCCAUGGAUGGGCCUGGGAGGACAUAGACCCACCUACUGGGGAGUCAGGUCCACCUACUGGGGAGUCAGGUCCACCUACUGGGGAGUCAGGUCCAGCCAUGGAUGGGCCUGGGAGGACAUAGACCCACCUACUGGGGAGUCAGGUCCACCUACUGGGGAGUCAGGUCCACCUACUGGGGAGUCAGGUCCAGCCAUGGAUGGGCCUGGGAGGACAUAGACCCACCUACUGGGGAGUCAGGUCCACCUACUGGGGAGUCAGGUCCACCUACUGGGGAGUCAGGUCCAGCCAUGGAUGGGCCUGGGAGGACAUAGACCCACCUACUGGGGAGUCAGGUCCAGCCAUGGAUGGGCCUGGGAGGACAUAGACCCACCUACUGGGGAGUCAGGUCCAGCCAUGGAUGGGCCUGGGAGGACAUAGACCCACCUACUGGGGAGUCAGGUCCAGCCAUGGAUGGGCCUGGGAGGACAUAGACCCACCUACUGGGGAGUCAGGUCCACCUACUGGGGAGUCAGGUCCACCUACUGGGGAGUCAGGUCCAGCCAUGGAUGGGCCUGGGAGGACAUAGACCCACCUACUGGGGAGUCAGGUCCACCUACUGGGGAGUCAGGUCCACCUACUGGGGAGUCAGGUCCAGCCAUGGAUGGGCCUGGGAGGACAUAGACCCACCUACUGGGGAGUCAGGUCCACCUACUGGGGAGUCAGGUCCACCUACUGGGGAGUCAGGUCCAGCCAUGGAUGGGCCUGGGAGGACAUAGACCCACCUACUGGGGAGUCAGGUCCACCUACUGGGGAGUCAGGUCCACCUACUGGGGAGUCAGGUCCAGCCAUGGAUGGGCCUGGGAGGACAUAGACCCACCUACUGGGGAGUCAGGUCCACCUACUGGGGAGUCAGGUCCACCUA
Molecule: long non-coding RNA, 1115 nt
Organism: Oncorhynchus keta (chum salmon)
Lineage: Eukaryota; Metazoa; Chordata; Actinopteri; Salmoniformes; Salmonidae
Exons: 3
Source: RefSeq, a predicted model, not a curated record